UGGGGAAUAUUGCACAAUGGGCGCAAGCCUGAUGCAGCCAUGCCGCGUGUAUGAAGAAGGCCUUCGGGUUGUAAAGUACUUUCAGCGGGGAGGAAGGGAGUAAAGUUAAUACCUUUGCUCAUUGACGUUACCCGCAGAAGAAGCACCGGCUAACUCCGUGCCAGCAGCCGCGGUAAUACGGAGGGAGCAAGCGUUAAUCGGAAUUACUGGGCGUAAAGCGCACGCAGGCGGUUUGUUAAGUCAGAUGUGAAAUCCCCGGGCUCAACCUGGGAACUGCAUCUGAUACUGGCAAGCUGGAGUCUCGUAGAGGGGGGUAGAAUUCCAGGUGUAGCGGUGAAAUGCGUAGAGAUCUGGAGGAAUACCGGUGGCGAAGGCGGCCCCCUGGACGAAGACUGACGCUCAGGUGCGAAAGCGUGGGGAGCAAACAGG
This 429-nucleotide ribosomal RNA is filed under the name Chloroflexota bacterium. RNAcentral describes it as "Chloroflexi bacterium partial 16S ribosomal RNA". It matches the Rfam family "Bacterial small subunit ribosomal RNA", at positions 355 to 776 of the family's 1533-position model. Lineage: Bacteria; Bacillati; Chloroflexota. The record is from RNAcentral.